AUGCUCACUCUGGCAGCAUAUAUGCUAAAAUUAGAACAAUACAGAGAAGAUUAGCAUGACCCUGUGCAAGGGUGACAUGCAACUUCAUAAAAUGUUCCCGUGUCUC
Ochotona curzoniae (black-lipped pika) is the source of this 106-nucleotide small nuclear RNA. The record is from RefSeq and is a predicted model, not a curated record. Lineage: Eukaryota; Metazoa; Chordata; Mammalia; Lagomorpha; Ochotonidae.